Molecule: ribosomal RNA, 324 nt
Filed under: Triticum aestivum (bread wheat)
Lineage: Eukaryota; Viridiplantae; Streptophyta; Magnoliopsida; Poales; Poaceae
Description: partial small subunit ribosomal RNA
Source: RNAcentral
AUGGGAACUGAGGGUGAGGCUGCUACUAAUGCCCACAAUGAGGACUUUGGCCACUCCAGUGCAGAACCAUCAUGGGCCCAGAAGCUCAAGCGCAAGAUGAAGAAGCUCUUCUGCAUGGAGUCCCAUGGUCAAUACUUGACUCAUGUGGCGGAGAAGAAUGCCAGGACGCGCCACAAGGAGAUCAUGCGUCAGUUGGGCGCCAUAGUUGUCAGUGGGUCUGAGGGACAGAUCACUGAAGAAGAGGACUGGAUUCAUCAGAACUGCCACUGGACCGACUCCGAUGCCGAGCAGUUUUCAACUCACGAUGCAGAUGCAGAGAUGUGA